This 1543-nucleotide long non-coding RNA is filed under the name Vigna radiata. RNAcentral describes it as "long non-coding RNA (VRAD_LNC003164)". The record is from RNAcentral. Lineage: Eukaryota; Viridiplantae; Streptophyta; Magnoliopsida; Fabales; Fabaceae.
AGUUAAGCAAGACGUUGCUUGCUGAUAUGUCUCUAUGCACUAUUGGAGGGACACAAUCAUGAUGGAGAUAUGAGAGAGCAUGUGCAGUUCCUUUCACUGUGUUAACCCUCUUUUUCCAAUCAAAUUCUAUUGCUUCCCUGUCAUCGAACAACACAGAAAGCAAGCUUCCUUUCUCCAUGUACUCAUAGAUCAAAAACAUUAUUCUUUUGUGUAAGCAGAAUCCAUGGAGCUUUACUAUAUGUCGGUGCUUUAUUUCCGAUAGUACUUUGGCUUCGUUUCUGAAACUCUCAUCAAAAGUGGGGACCUCUGCUUCAAAACCAUGGAGUUUCUUCACCGCAACAAUCUUUCCACUAGGUAAUUGAGCCCUAUAGACGCUUCCGUACGCACCUGUUCCUAUACAAUAUUUGAGAUCAAAGUCUUCGGUUACUGUAAUGAUGUCUUCAUAGGCUAUGCUUCCGUCAUAGUUCCAUAUGCAAAACAAGUCCCCAUUCUUAGAUUUUUCAGUUAUCAUUUCAUGUUUUUUCUUGGCUACAAUGCAGUUGUGCCUCAUAUAUAAAAGUAGUAAGAAGGCCAUGAUUAGAAAUAUGGUGAUGAAAAGAAUUAUGACCAACUGCCUUCGUUUUUGUUUCUUCUGGUUGACUGGACAAGGCUGAAAUUGGAAAUUGAUUUGUAUAUGUGAAACGUUGCUGCAUACACCCUUGUUUCCCAUUAGUGCAUAUGGACUCACACCAUUUGGAAUGGGACCAUUCAUAUUAUUGAAGCAAAGGUCCACAUAGUGGACAUUAUGUAGGGACACAGGAAUUCCUCCGAUAAGACUAUUGUAACUUAGAUCCAGACUUUUCAAAAGUGGAAAAUAUCCGACUGAGAAAGGUUCAAGGGAACCGGUGAGUAGAUUGUGUGAAAUGUCAAUAUUUUGAAGGUUCAUGAGGUUUGAAAGUGAAAUGGGCAAGGUUCCAUUGAUUUUGUUGUUAGAGAUUAUCAGGGUCAAUAGAUUGGUUAGAUAUCCUAGUGAUGCAGGUAUUUCACCUUGAAGAGAAUUGUGAGAUAAAUCAAGAUAAGUGAGUUUUGAAAGAUNUCCUAGUAAUGCAGGUAUUUNACCUUGAAGAGAAUUGUGAGAUAAAUCAAGAUAAGUGAGUUUUGAAAGAUUUCCAAUUUGAGAUGGAAUAGUACCUUUUAGACUAUAGGAGACCUCAAGAUGUUCCAAAUUCUUGAAAGCAGAGAGGUUUAGUGUUGCUAAUUCAAUCGGUUGUUCGGGAUAUUCAUAUGCUAUACGAGUUACACUUCCAACAUCAUUGCAACUUAUACCUUCAGUCGAUGAACAGAUAUCAUCUGAAUCUGACAGAGACCACCAUCUACUACUGAUUAUAGCGUUUGCUUCCAACUGAAGCUGUGAUGGUGUAGACACGCAUCCAAACUCUAAAACAGAGCCCAUUAAAAGCAAAGCAUAAAUAAAAAGAUGGAAAUUGUAAACCAAAAACUGCAUCCUCUUCGAAUAGAGGUAAUAAAUAGAAGGUAUAUUUAUGAGAAACUCAAGUUUCACCAA